Molecule: ribosomal RNA, 513 nt
Filed under: uncultured bacterium
Lineage: Bacteria
Description: partial 16S ribosomal RNA
Rfam family: Bacterial small subunit ribosomal RNA
Source: RNAcentral
GAUGAACGCUGGCGGCGUGCCUAAUACAUGCAAGUCGAGCGGACCAAAGAGAGCUUGCUCUCUGAGGUUAGCGGCGGACGGGUGAGUAACACGUGGGUAACCUGCCUGUAAGACGGGGAUAACUUCGGGAAACCGAAGCUAAUACCGGAUGAUAAAGAGAAACGCCUGUUUCUUUUUUGAAAGUCGGCCUUGUGCUGACGCUUACAGAUGGGCCCGCGGCGCAUUAGCUAGUUGGUGAGGUAACGGCUCACCAAGGCGACGAUGCGUAGCCGACCUGAGAGGGUGAUCGGCCACACUGGGACUGAGACACGGCCCAGACUCCUACGGGAGGCAGCAGUAGGGAAUCUUCGGCAAUGGACGAAAGUCUGACCGAGCGACGCCGCGUGAGCGAUGAAGGCCUUCGGGUCGUAAAGCUCUGUUGUCAGAGAAGAACAAGUACCGGAGUAACUGCCGGUACCUUGACGGUACCUGACCAGAAAGCCACGGCCAACUACGUGCCAGCCGCCGCCGUAA